GUUUGUUUCCUGCCCUUAGAAACUUUCAUGCUGGACAUGAGGAGUUUCGAACGGAGUUCAAAGUUCCUCCGUUUCAGGACUGCGUCCUGAGUUUCCUGGGCUUUUCAGAAGAAGAAAAGGCCAACAUGCAGGAGCGCACUUUGAAGCAUGGUGGCAGAUAUCUGGAGGUUGAAGACGAGCGCUGUACACACAUGGUGGUGGAGGAGAACUCAGUGAAGGAGCUGCCGUUCACUCCCUGUACAAAGCUAUUUGUGGUCAAACAGGAGUGGUUCUGGGGAAGCAUUCAAAUGGACGCUCGAGCUGGAGAGUCCAUGUAUCUGUACGAGAAGGUGAGUGCAUGAUGGGUACUUGAACUCACAGAAGAAAAUAUGAUCACUGAAUACUAGGUGUACGGCUCGACACUAGUUUUUCAGGUCCAAAUGCAACUUGGAGUAUCUGCUGAUUUUUAUCGAUUAAUUGAGUAAUUGGAUAAAUCGUACUUUGUGUUUUUUUUUUUUUAACAAAUUUAUUAAUAAUGGCUUAUGUAGCAUGAAAGACCUCUAAAAAUGAGCAAGCAUUUGGCUGUUGUUCAUCAUCCUCAUAGU
Long non-coding RNA from Cynoglossus semilaevis (tongue sole), 584 nucleotides. RefSeq lists it as uncharacterized. The transcript has 3 exons. The record is from RefSeq and is a predicted model, not a curated record. Lineage: Eukaryota; Metazoa; Chordata; Actinopteri; Pleuronectiformes; Cynoglossidae.